GAUGAACGCUGGCGGCGUGCUUAAUACAUGCAAGUCGAACGGAGACAUUAUAGCAAUAUGAUGUCUUAGUGGCGAACGGGUGAGUAACGCGUUGGUGACCUGCCCCGAAGUGGGGGAUAACAGCUCGAAAGGGCUGCUAAUACCUCAUGUGGUCAUAAGGGUUAGAGGCCUUAUGUCUAAAGGAGUAAUCCGCUUCGGGAGGGGCCUGCGUCCCAUCAGCUAGUUGGUAGGGUAAUGGCCUACCAAGGCGACGACGGGUAGGGGACCUGAGAGGGUGGCCCCCCACACUGGCACUGAAACACGGGCCAGACACCUACGGGUGGCAG
This 326-nucleotide ribosomal RNA is filed under the name uncultured Chloroflexota bacterium. Its description in RNAcentral is "bacterial SSU rRNA". It matches the Rfam family "Bacterial small subunit ribosomal RNA", at positions 28 to 351 of the family's 1533-position model. Lineage: Bacteria; Bacillati; Chloroflexota. The record is from RNAcentral.